RNAcentral lists this ribosomal RNA (378 nucleotides) under Methylobacteriaceae bacterium. Its description in RNAcentral is "bacterial SSU rRNA". It matches the Rfam family "Bacterial small subunit ribosomal RNA", at positions 1 to 409 of the family's 1533-position model. Lineage: Bacteria; Pseudomonadati; Pseudomonadota; Alphaproteobacteria; Hyphomicrobiales; Methylobacteriaceae. The record is from RNAcentral.
CAACUUGAGAGUUUGAUCCUGGCUCAGAACGAACGCUGGCGGCAGGCCUAACACAUGCAAGUCGAACGCCCCGCAAGGGGAGUGGCAGACGGGUGAGUAACGCGUGGGAACAUGCCCUUCGGUUCGGAAUAACUCAGGGAAACUUGAGCUAAUACCGGAUACGUCCGCAAGGAGAAAGAUUUAUUGCCGAAGGAUUGGCCCGCGUCCGAUUAGCUAGUUGGCGGGGUAAAAGCCCACCAAGGCGACGAUCGGUAGCUGGUCUGAGAGGAUGAUCAGCCACAUUGGGACUGAGACACGGCCCAAACUCCUACGGGAGGCAGCAGUGGGGAAUAUUGGACAAUGGGCGCAAGCCUGAUCCAGCCAUGCCGCGUGAGUGAU